AUUGAACGCUGGCGGCAGGCUUAACACAUGCAAGUCGAGCGGGGGAAGGUAGCUUGCUACCGGACCUAGCGGCGGACGGGUGAGUAAUGCUUAGGAAUCUGCCUAUUAGUGGGGGACAACAUUCCGAAAGGGAUGCUAAUACCGCAUACGUCCUACGGGAGAAAGCAGGGGAUCUUCGGACUUUGCGCUAAUAGAUGAGCCUAAGUCGGAUUAGCUAGUUGGUGGGGUAAAGGCCUACCAAGGCGACGAUCUGUAGCGGGUCUGAGAGGAUGAUCCGCCACACUGGGACUGAGACACGGCCCAGACUCCUACGGGAGGCAGCAGUGGGGAAUAUUGGACAAUGGGGGGAACCCCGAUCCAGCCAUGCCGCGUGUGUGAAGAAGGCCUUAUGGUUGUAAAGCACUUUAAGCGAGGAGGAGGCUACUUUAGUUAAUACCUAGAGGUAGUGGACGUUACUCGCAGAAUAAGCACCGGCUAACUCUGUGCCAGCCGCCGCUGUAA
Molecule: ribosomal RNA, 501 nt
Filed under: uncultured bacterium
Lineage: Bacteria
Description: partial 16S ribosomal RNA
Rfam family: Bacterial small subunit ribosomal RNA
Source: RNAcentral